GCAUGGCAUUCCGUAAUGAAAAGAGAAUUUUAGCAUAUGUAUUCACCUUUAUUGUUUUAAUUCUCUUGUGCACAACCUGUUAUUUAGGUUUUUCCCUGUCUGUUCAUCGUAUGAUUUCUGAUCCAGAAGUGUAUAACGAGGAGUAUGAUAAAAGAAUAUUUUGUCUUCUAAAAGCUGCCCAAGGAGAUAGAUUAGAUCAUAUAAAAAGGUUGUAUUAUGAAGAUUACAUAGACAUGGAUGAUGUUGACCUACAUGGUCGCUCUGCACUUCAUUUAGCAGCAUGUGAAGGUCAAAACGAAGUAUUGAAAUUUAUUAUUCGUCAUAAUUUAUGUUUUCCAGAC
Molecule: long non-coding RNA, 341 nt
Organism: Mytilus californianus (California mussel)
Lineage: Eukaryota; Metazoa; Mollusca; Bivalvia; Mytilida; Mytilidae
Exons: 4
Source: RefSeq, a predicted model, not a curated record